CUGGCAUUGAUGUACUGCAGGGGUGGGAGUGGGGAGGAAUGAGGAGAGGUCGGGAUGGGGACCCCAUCCCCUGGUGCACCCUGAUUUGGGGCUGGGUGUCAGAUGCUGCUGCAAUUUGCCUGGUGGGAUCAGGCUCCAUCUCUGCUGGCAGGGCGAGCGCAUCCCUUGGGAUGGAUGCAUCUAGCAGAAGCCAGAGGGAAAAACGCAGGAGCAACUCCUCCCGGGAAGGGAAUGUUCUUGCCUGGGAGGCAACCUGGGCACAGGUCAAGAAGUUCAGUGUCCCCAUCAUAACCAAUGCUCCCGAGUCCAACUGUGCUGCCUGUUAAACACCCCACGGCUGGAGAUGUGGGAAGGUCCCCGGGGCAGGGACCGCUGGGUGCUGACAGCAUCCUUGCAGCUGGAGGGAGCGAAUCCCUGCUGGAAACCCACAUUUGGUUGGGAAAGCAGGACACAGGGACACACUUUAACCGGACGGACCAAACAUGAGCUGGGAAAGGAGGAGAUACCCAGCCCACUUGGAAGCUGGGGAAGAAUGGAGGGCUUUGUGGCCACAGAGAAGGGACGGUUGAUUCCAGCCUGCAUUUACCAACCUGCCUUCAAAAAAAAGAAAGAAAACAAACCCCGUCCAUCGCUUGGCCACCCAAAGGCACAGGAGAACCUCCCAAACAAGCACUUCCACCAAUUCUUAGAGCGAAGACACCGGCGGCAGCCCUUGAUCUGCGGCCCCGGUGGUGAACCUGCUGAGCUUCCAGCCCUUGGUCUGCUAAUCUCCUCCCGCAGCUCGCUAAAUCCUGCAAGAUGUUCCCAAUAACAAGCAGGGGUCGGGGCUCGGUUUGUUUGCAGAGCUUCAUCCUUGGGGACAUCUGGUACCUUUGGCUCUCCUGAGCUUCGGAUAAGCAGCAGUUGGCUCUGGGGGAGCAGGGACUGUGGACGUUCACACCCUGGGGAGACAGGGGGGAUGCCAGCAGGGUUGGGGUGAUGAUGGGUCUGGGGUGACAGCCACCAGUGCUGGCGUUCCUGGGGUGCUGCUGGCUGGGUGCUGUGCUGACAGCUCGGCUCCUCCCGGCUGAUCCACAUCCCGCUACUGGGAAGCACUGGGGAGGAGUGGGGUCCUCGCAGCCGGGGCCGCGGGAUGCGG
RNAcentral lists this long non-coding RNA (1138 nucleotides) under Calidris pugnax (ruff). Its description in RNAcentral is "lncRNA (ENSCPUG00000009623.1)". Lineage: Eukaryota; Metazoa; Chordata; Aves; Charadriiformes; Scolopacidae. The record is from RNAcentral.